ACCUGGUCCUGUAAGUAUGUGUAACGUGUUCUAUAGACGAUUAUUGUGCUGAAAAUUGUUAACAAAUUUUCCGAUUUAGAUUUUUAAUAAAUCUGGUAUACGUAUGUCGGGAGUGUAGGAAGUCUAGUGAUACCCUAGAGUCGAAUUUCUUCAUCAGGUUUUGCGCUAUGUGGUAUGAUAGUUUCUUUUGCUACUUAAAUUCCUUGUUGGUUGUCG
RNAcentral lists this unclassified non-coding RNA (216 nucleotides) under Hevea brasiliensis (rubber tree). The record is from RNAcentral. Lineage: Eukaryota; Viridiplantae; Streptophyta; Magnoliopsida; Malpighiales; Euphorbiaceae.